This 499-nucleotide ribosomal RNA is filed under the name uncultured bacterium. Its description in RNAcentral is "bacterial SSU rRNA". It matches the Rfam family "Bacterial small subunit ribosomal RNA", at positions 8 to 518 of the family's 1533-position model. The record is from RNAcentral.
AGAGUUUGAUUAUGGCUCAGAACGAACGCUGGUGGCGUGUCUUAUACAUGCAAGUCGAGCGGGGCAGCAAUGCCCAGCGGCGAACGGGUGAGUAACGCGUAAGCAAUCUGCCCCAUAUCAGGAAAUACCCGUGCCAACGCGCGGUUAAUGUCCAGGAGCGUGGCCCUCCGCAUGGAGGGUUGACAAGAGAUUUAUCGGUAUGGGAUGAGCUUGCGUCCGAUUAGCUAGUUGGCGGGGCAACGGCCCACCAAGGCGACGAUCGGUAGCCGGCCUGAGAGGGUGAUCGGCCACAUUGGGACUGAGAUACGGCCCAGACUCCUACGGGAGGCAGCAGUAGGGAAUAUUGCACAAUGGGGGAAACCCUGAUGCAGCAAACCGCCACGUGUGGGAAGAAGCAUUUCGGUGUGUAAACCACUGUCGUGAGGGAAUAAGGCUAAUUUUCGGAUUAGUUGAAUGUACCUCGAAAGGAAGCACCGGCAAACUUCGUGCCAGCCGCCGC